Molecule: transfer RNA, 74 nt
Filed under: Gammaproteobacteria bacterium
Lineage: Bacteria; Pseudomonadati; Pseudomonadota; Gammaproteobacteria
Also listed under: 6 other names
Description: tRNA-Gly
Rfam family: tRNA
About the family: Transfer RNA (tRNA) molecules are approximately 80 nucleotides in length.
Source: RNAcentral
GCGGGUGUAGUUCAACGGUAGAACCUCAGCCUUCCAAGCUGAUGAUGGCGGUUCGAGUCCGCUCACCCGCUCCA